RNAcentral lists this ribosomal RNA (460 nucleotides) under uncultured bacterium. RNAcentral's name for it is "partial 16S ribosomal RNA". It matches the Rfam family "Bacterial small subunit ribosomal RNA", at positions 338 to 795 of the family's 1533-position model. The record is from RNAcentral.
CCUACGGGUGGCAGCAGUGAGGAAUAUUGGUCAAUGGACGAGAGUCUGAACCAGCCAAGUAGCGUGAAGGAUGACUGCCCUAUGGGUUGUAAACUUCUUUUAUAUGGGAAUAAAAUGUUCCACGUGUGGGAUUUUGUAUGUACCAUAUGAAUAAGGAUAGGCUAACUCCGUGCCAGCAGCCGCGGUAAUACGGAGGAUCCGAGCGUUAUCCGGAUUUAUUGGGUUUAAAGGGAGCGUAGGUGGAUUUUUAAGUCAGUUGUGAAAGUUUGCGGCUCAACCGUAAAAUUGCAGUUGAAACUGGCAGUCUUGAGUACAGUAGAGGUGGGCGGAAUUCGUGGUGUAGCGGUGAAAUGCUUAGAUAUCACGAAGAACUCCGAUUGCGAAGGCAGUUCACUGGACUGCAACUGACACUGAGGCUCGAAAGUGUGGGUAUCAAACAGGAUUAGAUACCCUGGUAGUC